GGGAAUUGGGUAUAGGGGACUUUCAGGAUAGCAUUUGAAAUGUAAAGGAAGAAAAUAAUAAAAAAUUGAAAAAAGAGAAAAUAUUCAUAAGUUUAAUAGUAAGCUCUUUAUUAUGUAGCACCUAUAUUCCUAGAAAGUAAAGACAAGAAAAGACGUCUAUAGCAUUAUCAUACAUUAGUAUGGCUGUGGAAAAAGAAAUAAAGAGAUGAACUGGAUGUUUGUACUCAGCAGUUGGUGUUUUGUUUGUUUGAAUCUAAGAGUUUAUCAAUAUAUCUAUGAUAUGCAGAACCAUUUCCAGUGCUUCCUGAGCAAUUUUAUUGUUAUUAUGCAUGAAUAAUUGCAUUAUGUUCUGAAGUAGAAAGACUUUCUGAGUUUCAUUACAUCAAAAAAAAAAAAACCCAAAGCUAAAUGUGCCCCAUUUAAAACAUUAAAUUAUGUCUCUCUGCGAUGUUUUUACUGUGCAGAAAAUAGCUUGAAAUGUGAGACAAGCUAAUGAAGGAACAGACUGAAAUUUGCUUGAGCCAUUGUUUGAUCCACUGAGAAAACUACUGAAAGGCCUUUUUUUAUGUUUCUACCUUGAAACAGUUGAAUGACUUUAUGCAAAGGGUGCUGGGAAUGCAGCUACUCUGCUUUCUUAUUUGAGCCUUUUGCAAGCUGAGAAAUUUAUUUGUAUAAAAGAAUUUUUUUAAACUUACCAAGUUUCUAAGUAUGCCAGUGAUAAUAGUUUUUUCUAGGAAACAGAAAUAUGAAAUGCCUUGUUUCAGCAGAUAAAAAUGGUCUUUCAUGACAGCAUAAAGGGGGCAUUAAAGACCGGACAGCAGAAGGAAGGGUCAUGCUUUAGCCAAUACUGUCUUGUAAUUCCUCCUGUUUAUUAUCUUUGGCAGUAAUGCCAUGAAAUAUCAGUUCAUUAGUUCCCUGAGUUUUAGCUCAACUUUUGUAUUGUUUACAGGCAAACAUGACAAAAGGUAAUGAUUAAGGUUAAUAAAUCAAUAAUGCAUAAUUUGUUUCAAAACAGUGUAAAUUCUAAACUGAAGACGCCACUGAUGAUUUCUGAAAUGCCUGAAGAGUUUAUCAUUUGCUCUAUGAGAUCACUUCGUGUUAUGUGAACUUACUGUGAUUGUUGGCCUAUAUUUUUUAAAUGUUUAUAUUGUAAAUUUUGGAAUUUUAUUACAGUAUGGGUUAUAAGAAUUAUCAUUCUUAUCUGAGAAGGAAUGUCAUAUUGUCAUAUGAUGGGUGUUGUGGGGGAGGAGGGUCAGCUUUCUUAGAGGAUGGGGCCAUUGAGCAAGUGCUCUCCCAUCUCACUGGAUGGAAUGUUCUUAUUAAUGCCUGAAUAACAUGGGUUAACUAUAUACAUUGUGCUCAUAAUAUUUGAAGAGAUGUAUAGGAUGUAUAGCAUUCCUAAAUAAAUCUAGUUCACCUGUAAUUCUUAUUGUUGUUCAACAUCACAUUGAGUUUUCUUUUCUGUCAUUUUCUUCAUUGACCUUUGUCAUUCUGAUCGAUGUAAGGUGGAAUUUUAGAGACCUUUUAAUUUGCAUUUCCCUGAUCAUUAAGAACUUUGGACGUUUCUAUAAAUGCUUCUCAGCAAUUCAAGAUGCCUUGGUUGAGAACUCUCUUAGACGUGUACCCCAUUCUUAAUAGUUAUAUUUGAUUCUCUGGAGUCUAACUUCAUGAGUUCUUUGUACAUAUUAGAUAUUAACUCUCAAUUGGAUACAGGGUUAGUAAAGAUCUUUUCCUAAUGUUUAGGCUGCUGUUUUGUCCUUUUGACAGUGUCCUUUGCCUUACAGAAGUUUGAAAUUUUAUGAGGUCCCAUUUGUCUAAAGUUGAUCUUGGAGCGUAAGCUAUUGGUGUUCUGUUCAACAAACUUUCCCCUGUGCCCAUGUUUUUGAGGCCUUUUCCCACAUUCUCUUCUAUUAGUUUCAGUGUAUCUGGUUUUAUGUAGACGUCCUUGAUUUACUUGGACUUGAGCUUUGUACAAGGAGAUAAGAAUGGAUCAAUUUCCAUCUUUCUUUAUGCUGAUCUCCAGUCGAACGAGCAAUGUUUGCUGAAAAUAAUGUCAUUUUUUUCCCACUGGAUGAUUUUAGCUCCUUUGUCAAAGAUCAAGUGACCACAGGUGUGUGGGUUCAUUUCUGGGUCUUCAAUUCUACUCCAUUGAUCUUCCUGCUUGUCUCUGUAUAAAUACCAUACAGUUUUUAACACCAUUUCUCUGUAAUACAGCUUGAGGUCAGGGAUGGUGACCAGAAGUUCUUUUAUUGUUGAGAAUAGUUUUUGAUAUCCUAGGUUUUUUGUUGUUCCAAAUGAAUUUUCAAAUCACUCUUUCUAACUCUAUGAAGAAUUGAGUUGGGAUUUUGAUGGGAAUUUCAUUUAAUCUGUAGAUUCCUUUCAACAAGAUGGCCAUUUUUUUAUUAUAUUAAUCCUACCAAUCCAUGAGCAUGGAUCUUCUUUAAUUUCUUUCUUUAGAGAUUUGCAGUUUUGUCAUUUUAUCCUGAUAUGCUCAUUCUAGCUUUUCUUUCCUCUUUCCUCUGCACUCUGAGGUCAUAUUCAAAGCAUAUAACAUGAAGCCCAUGGGAAAUAACUACACCUAAAUGCAAUAUUAAAAAAAAAGAAUUCAGUGAAUAAAUAACCAUGUGGGUGGCUAUCUUAUAAUAUCUUUCCCUAAGGGUUAAGUUGUCAAGAUUCAUCUUGCUCCCUACAAGAUUCAUCUUGUUCUUAUGGAACAUUCUCUAGCAACUCUACCUUAAGUUGGUCACCAUCUUCUCUGAUCUUUCUCAUACACAACAGCCUUCGGAAAUUCUGUAUCAUCUUGGCUUAUUUGUGAUAGUUAAUCAUCCUACUACACAGUACUAAAUGAUAACCUUUUGUUCUCAUAUUUUUUAUCAUGCAUUUUUAGAGGUACAGUUAGGGGCAUUGGCAUUUAUCAUGCUUUCAUUGAUUGAAUCCUUUAUUCUUAGUUUUCAAAAUGAUUUAAAUUAACAAGUGAUGUUGGCUACCAGAAAUGGUCAAGAAUUUUGAGUGGAUUUAUGGGCUCAUGCUGUAAUGAAAUGUACUUUAUGAUAUCCUCUAUGUAAUAGGAAGGAACUGUACUUAAGACCAACCUCCUUAUACCUUGCAGUUUUCAGAUCUGGUUUUAAUUGUAAAGUAGUUGGGAUAAGUAACAGAAAAAUAAUUUUCAUAAGACUUAAAAGUUUUCUAAUACCAAGAUUUUAAAAAGUGACUUCAAUAUCAAUUCUAUGAAAACUAUGUUUUAAAAAAUUUCGGUGGUAUCAGAAGCUAAAUAAACAAAAGAGGGCAAUAUUUGAUUUAUUGUACUCUU
Molecule: long non-coding RNA, 3310 nt
Filed under: Mus musculus (house mouse)
Lineage: Eukaryota; Metazoa; Chordata; Mammalia; Rodentia; Muridae
Description: long non-coding RNA chr6:62228549-62231859
Source: RNAcentral